CUUUCGCAACUUAAUAGUUAUUAUUUUAGAUCGAGAAAUGUGCAAUCAUUUUUGCGAGGAGUCGAGGUAAACUAUACGUUUUAACCGUAUAUUUGUAGAACAAGAAACUACUAUUAUUUUCGGCGGGAUAAACCCAGCGAGAACGGAGCGGGGGAUUUCCAAUUAUGAAUAACAAUGCUGUCAUUAAAAUGGGCGUUGCUGACGUCGAGGCUCUCUUCGACGCAAAUUUUAUGUAAGUAGAGUAAGCGCUUUAAUUGUAAUAAUAAACUUCAAAUCACUAUUUCCGCUGUAAAUAAAAACACCCUACAUUUUGUUUGUUGUUUUUUCCCUGCCCACUCCUGUUCUGGUUAUAGGGAACCUACCUCCGAUAUGGAAUUAUAGGUAAGAAUGAGGGUCCUCGCACCUGUCUCCUGAAAUUACAAUUUCCUACCCUAGUCGCAUCAAUCUAAUAGAGGGAGUCGGAUGAAAAUAUACCUCUAUAUGCAUUACGACGCCAAUAGAUGGCGCCUCCGUAUCAAAUCGCUAUUUCAGCUCUAAAUAAAAACGCUCUACAUUUUGUUUUUGUUGUUUUAUUUCCCUCCCCGCCCCUGUUCUGGUUGUAGGUUAGAAUGGGGCCCCCUUGUGUAUGUCUCUCAAAUGGGGGAGCUACCUCCGAGAUGGAAUGAUAGGUUAGAAUUCUCCUCCCUUGCAUCUCUCUCCUGAACCACUGGAUAGUUCACAUGUUUGCUAUUGUACAAAUGUAUACACGGCCGACUUUAUUCGUAAAUUUCUAACGCAAGAAGUCAAAAUUGCAGUUUCCUAUACGUUAGAUGCGUAUCAUUUUGACGCCACCAAAUAGCCCCUAGCCCCUAUCGGGUUUUUUCCCUGCCCACUCCUGUUCUAGUUAUAGGGAACCUACCUCCGAGAUGGAAUUAUAGGUUAGAAUGAGGGUCCUCGCACCUGUCUCCUGAAAUUACAAUUUCCUACCCUAUACCUAUAUGUCACAUCAAUCUAAUAGAGGGAGUCGAUUGAAAAUAUACCUCUAUAUGCAUUACGACGCCAAUAGAUGGCACCUCCGUACCAUUUAAUAUAUCUAUGAUUUAAUAAUAUUUAGAGGUUCGUUAUAAAUACAACUAUCGAAGCAUUAUAUCAUACAAGUCUAGUUAGCCUAGUGGUUAUGCUAUAGGACUUGUAAUCCGAUGGUUGGCGGUUCGAAUCCGUUCCAUUUAAAAAAAUUUUCAGGAGGUUCGAUAUAAAUACAACUAUCCAAGCAUUAUAUCAUACAAGUCUAAUUAGCUCAGUGGUUAUGCUAUAGGACUUGUAAUCCAAUGGUUGGCGGUUCGAAUCCGUUCCAUUUAA
Photinus pyralis (common eastern firefly) is the source of this 1338-nucleotide long non-coding RNA. RefSeq lists it as uncharacterized. NCBI's taxonomy places the organism in Eukaryota, Metazoa, Arthropoda, Insecta, Coleoptera, Lampyridae. The transcript is spliced from 2 exons. The record is from RefSeq and is a predicted model, not a curated record.